GACGAACGCUGGCGGCGUGCUUAACACAUGCAAGUCGAACGGUAAGGCCCUGCUUUUGUGGGGUGCUCGAGUGGCGAACGGGUGAGUAACACGUGAGUAACCUGCCCUUGACUUUGGGAUAACUUCAGGAAACUGGGUCUAAUACCGGAUAGGAGCUCCUGCUGCAUGGUGGGGGUUGGAAAGUUUCGGCGGGUGGGGAUGGACCCGCGGCUUAUCAGCUUGUUGGUGGGGUAGUGGCUGACCAAGGCUUUGACGGGUAGCCGGCCUGAGAGGGUGACCGGCCACAUUGGGACUGAGAUACGGCCCAGACUCCUACGGGAGGCAGCAGUGGGGAAUAUUGCACAAUGGGCGGAAGCCUGAUGCAGCAACGCCGCGUGCGGGAUGCCGGCCUUCGGGUUGUAAACCGCUUUCGCCUGUGACGAAGCGUGAGUGACGGUAAUGGGUAAAGAAGCACCGGCUAACUACGUG
Molecule: ribosomal RNA, 468 nt
Filed under: uncultured bacterium
Lineage: Bacteria
Description: partial 16S ribosomal RNA
Rfam family: Bacterial small subunit ribosomal RNA
Source: RNAcentral